This 434-nucleotide ribosomal RNA is filed under the name uncultured bacterium. RNAcentral's name for it is "partial 16S ribosomal RNA". It matches the Rfam family "Bacterial small subunit ribosomal RNA", at positions 29 to 507 of the family's 1533-position model. The record is from RNAcentral.
AGCGAACGCUGGCGGCAGGCCUAACACAUGCAAGUCGAACGAACCUUUCGGGGUUAGUGGCGGACGGGUGAGUAACACGUGGGAACGUGCCUUUAGGUCCGGAAUAACUCAGGGAAACUUGUGCUAAUACCGAAUGUGCCCUUCGGGGGAAAGAUUAAUCGCCUUUAGAGCGGCCCGCGUCUGAUUAGCUAGUUGGUUGAGGUAAUGGCUCACCAAGGCGACGAUCAGUAGCUGGUCUGAGAGGAUGAUCAGCCACAUUGGGACUGAGACACGGCCCAAACUCCUACGGGAGGCAGGAGGUGGGAAUCUUGCGCAAUGGGCGAAAGGCUGACGGCGCCAAGCCGCGUGAAUUAUGAAGGUCUUAGGAUUGUAAAAUUCUUUCACCGGGGACGAUAAUGACGGUACCCGGAGAAGAAGCCCCGGCUAACUUCGUG